RNAcentral lists this ribosomal RNA (253 nucleotides) under uncultured bacterium. RNAcentral's name for it is "partial 16S ribosomal RNA". It matches the Rfam family "Bacterial small subunit ribosomal RNA", at positions 524 to 776 of the family's 1533-position model. The record is from RNAcentral.
UACGGGGGGGGUAAGCGUUGUUCGGAAUCAUUGGGCGUAAAGGGCGCGUAGGUGGCGGGACAAGCGUGCGGUGAAAGCCUGGGGCUCAACCCCGGGUCGGCCGUGCGAACUGUUUUGCUUGAGCACUGUAGAGGCAGGCGGAAUUCCGGGUGUAGCGGUGGAAUGCGUAGAGAUCCGGAAGAACACCGGUGGCGAAGGCGGCCUGCUGGGCAGUAGCUGACACUGAGGCGCGACAGCGUGGGGAGCAAACAGG